ACGAGCGUAGCUCAGUUGGUUAGAGCACCACCUUGACAUGGUGGGGGUCGGUGGUUCAAAUCCACUCGUUCGUACCA
RNAcentral lists this transfer RNA (77 nucleotides) under Photobacterium damselae. RNAcentral describes it as "tRNA-Val(gac)". It matches the Rfam family "tRNA". From Rfam's summary of the family: Transfer RNA (tRNA) molecules are approximately 80 nucleotides in length. Their secondary structure includes four short double-helical elements and three loops (D, anti-codon, and T loops). The record is from RNAcentral. Lineage: Bacteria; Pseudomonadati; Pseudomonadota; Gammaproteobacteria; Vibrionales; Vibrionaceae. RNAcentral also lists the same sequence under 3 other names.